RNAcentral lists this ribosomal RNA (490 nucleotides) under uncultured bacterium. RNAcentral's name for it is "partial 16S ribosomal RNA". It matches the Rfam family "Bacterial small subunit ribosomal RNA", at positions 28 to 507 of the family's 1533-position model. The record is from RNAcentral.
GAUGAACGCUAGCUACAGGCUUAACACAUGCAAGUCGCGGGGCAGCAUGGGGGUUGCUUGCAAUCCCCGAUGGCGACCGGCGCACGGGUGAGUAACGCGUAUUCAACCUGCCCUUCACCACGGGAUAACCCGGCGAAAGUCGGACUAAUACCGUAUGUUGUCCAUUGACGGCAUCCGAUUUGGACGAAAGGCUUGGCGGUGAGGGAUGGGGAUGCGUCCGAUUAGCCAGACGGCGGGGUAACGGCCCACCGUGGCUACGAUCGGUAGGGGUUCUGGGAGGAAGGUCCCCCACACUGGAACUGAGACACGGUCCAGACUCCUACGGGAGGCAGCAGUGAGGAAUAUUGGUCAAUGGGCGUAAGCCUGAACCAGCCAAGUAGCGUGCAGGAUGACGGCCCUAUGGGUUGUAAACUGCUUUUAUGCGGGGAUAAAGUGGCCCACGUGUGGGCUUUUGCAGGUACCGCAUGAAUAAGGACCGGCUAAUUCCGUG